CUAUGUAGAUAGAAGGUUUCUGGCGGUGCCUUAUUUUGCAAACGUCUCCUUGGUGAUACCAGCCCAAGUUGCGCAGGAAGAAAAGAAAAUCCAGCCCACUUUCACCUUGCUGAAGGGAAUUAAUCCCCAAACAAGCUUCAAGUUCCACGGCUGUGAUUCGUUAUUCAAGCAAAACAUUUAGCAUUCAAGAUCCUGUUCCAACUAUUAGUUUUACUUAAAAUUGUUUGUAAAUCCAUUGCUUGACGCACUUAACAUUUUACAGGCUAUCCAACACAUACAAGUCAUUUGCACACUAACUUGCAAAAUUCUGGGCUGAUGUACAAAUAUGACAAAUCAGAAUUUUUAUAUAAGCAGCCAUUUGGAUCCUUAGCCAAGUCAAACACUUGUUGGCAAACACAAUUUUUCAUCUAGCAGGAUUCAACAGCACAUUUUUAAAAAUCAAAGAAAGCUUUCUGAUAGCUGACAAUGUAAGACUGGGAGAAUAUUGAACAGUUUGCUUCAUUGAAAGAAGAUAACACGACUUCCUUAUCUAAUGGGAUGAGGUCAUCGCUGGUAUUGGCUCAUUCAGAAAUUCUUGUUCUGUGGCUACAGGUCACUGAUAGGCAAUGAUGUAACAGAUAACAUGGAAAAAAAAGUCUGAAGGCUGAGAACACCAAUAAAAAUAGUCCUGUUGUUUCAAA
Carcharodon carcharias (great white shark) is the source of this 680-nucleotide long non-coding RNA. RefSeq lists it as uncharacterized. The record is from RefSeq and is a predicted model, not a curated record. NCBI's taxonomy places the organism in Eukaryota, Metazoa, Chordata, Chondrichthyes, Lamniformes, Lamnidae. The transcript has 2 exons.